GUGCUCACUUCAGAUGCACAUAUGCUAAACAAACACUGGAACAAGAGGAGAAGAUUAGCAAAGCUCCUUCGCCAACAUGACAUGCAAAUUUAUGAGGUAUCCCAUGUUU
Molecule: small nuclear RNA, 109 nt
Filed under: Cervus elaphus hippelaphus
Lineage: Eukaryota; Metazoa; Chordata; Mammalia; Artiodactyla; Cervidae
Source: RNAcentral